RNAcentral lists this ribosomal RNA (460 nucleotides) under uncultured bacterium. RNAcentral describes it as "partial 16S ribosomal RNA". It matches the Rfam family "Bacterial small subunit ribosomal RNA", at positions 338 to 795 of the family's 1533-position model. The record is from RNAcentral.
CCUACGGGCGACAGCAGUGAGGAAUAUUGGUCAAUGGACGGAAGUCUGAACCAGCCAUGCCGCGUGCAGGAAGACGGCUCUAUGAGUUGUAAACUGCUUUUGUACAAGGGUAAACCUGAAUACGUGUAUUCGGCUGAAAGUACUGUACGAAUAAGGAUCGGCUAACUCCGUGCCAGCAGCCGCGGUAAUACGGAGGAUCCAAGCGUUAUCCGGAUUUAUUGGGUUUAAAGGGUGCGUAGGCGGAUUGAUAAGUUAGAGGUGAAAUGUCCGAGCUUAACUCGGGAACUGCCUCUAAUACUGUUGAUCUAGAGAGUAGAUGCGGUAGGCGGAAUGUAUGGUGUAGCGGUGAAAUGCUUAGAGAUCAUACAGAACACCGAUUGCGAAGGCAGCUUACCAAUCUAUAUCUGACGUUGAGGCACGAAAGCGUGGGGAGCAAACAGGAUUAGAUACCCCAGUAGUC